Molecule: ribosomal RNA, 497 nt
Filed under: uncultured bacterium
Lineage: Bacteria
Description: partial 16S ribosomal RNA
Rfam family: Bacterial small subunit ribosomal RNA
Source: RNAcentral
GAUGAACGCUGGCGGCGUGCCUAAUACAUGCAAGUCGAGCGAACAGACGAGGAGCUUGCUCCUCUGACGUUAGCGGCGGACGGGUGAGUAACACGUGGAUAACCUACCUAUAAGGCUGGGAUAACUUCGGGAAACCGGAGCUAAUACCGGAUAAUAUAUUGAACCGCAUGGUUCAAUAGUGAAAGACGGUUUUGCUGUCACUUAUAGAUGGAUCCGCGCCGCAUUAGCUAGUUGGUAAGGUAACGGCUUACCAAGGCAACGAUGCGUAGCCGACCUGAGAGGGUGAUCGCCCGCACUGGAACUGGACCACGGUCAAGACUCCUACGGGAGGCAGCAGUAGGGAAUGUUCGGCAGUGGGCGAAAGCCUGGCGGAGCAACGCCGCGUGAGUGAUGAAGGUCUUCGGAUCGUAAAACUCUGUUAUUAGGGAAGAACAAAUGUGUAAGUAACUAUGCACGUCUUGACGGUACCUAAUCAGAAAGCAACGGCUAACUACGUG